GAUGAACGCUGGCGGCGUGCCUAAUACAUGCAAGUCGAGCGAACAGACGAGGAGCUUGCUCCUCUGACGUUAGCGGCGGACGGGUGAGUAACACGUGGAUAACCUACCUAUAAGACUGCGAUAACUUCGGGAAACCGGAGCUAAUACCGGAUAAUAUAUUGAACCGCAUGGUUCAAUAGUGAAAGACGGUUUUGCUGUCACUUAUAGAUGGAUCCGCGCCGCAUUAGCUAGUUGGUAAGGUAACGGCUUACCAAGGCAACGAUGCGUAGCCGACCUGAGAGGGUGAUCGGCCACACUGGAACUGAGACACGGUCCAGACUCCUACGGGAGGCAGCAGUAGGGAAUCUUCCGCAAUGGGCGAAAGCCUGACGGAGCAACGCCGCGUGAGUGAUGAAGGUCUUCGGAUCGUAAAACUCUGUUAUUAGGGAAGAACAAAUGUGUAAGUAACUAUGCACGUCUUGACGGUACCUAAUCAGAAAGCCACGGCUAACUACGU
RNAcentral lists this ribosomal RNA (496 nucleotides) under uncultured bacterium. Its description in RNAcentral is "partial 16S ribosomal RNA". It matches the Rfam family "Bacterial small subunit ribosomal RNA", at positions 28 to 506 of the family's 1533-position model. The record is from RNAcentral.